GGGCCGCUAGCUUAGUGGUGGAGCGCCGGUCUUAUAAACCGGAGGUCGAGGGUUCGAUCCCCUCGCGGCCCA
This 72-nucleotide transfer RNA is filed under the name Nanobdellota archaeon. Its description in RNAcentral is "tRNA-Ile". It matches the Rfam family "tRNA". From Rfam's summary of the family: Transfer RNA (tRNA) molecules are approximately 80 nucleotides in length. Their secondary structure includes four short double-helical elements and three loops (D, anti-codon, and T loops). The record is from RNAcentral. Lineage: Archaea; Nanobdellati; Nanobdellota.